Non-coding RNA from Castor canadensis (American beaver), 1334 nucleotides. NCBI's taxonomy places the organism in Eukaryota, Metazoa, Chordata, Mammalia, Rodentia, Castoridae. The record is from RefSeq and is a predicted model, not a curated record.
GCCACCGCCACCACCACCCACCAUGGCUCUGAAGAGAAUCCACAAGGAAUUGAAUGACCUUGCAAGGGACCCUCCAGCACAGUGUUCAGCAGGUCCUGUUGGAUAUGAUAUGUUCCACUGGCAAGCUACAAUAAUGGGGCCAAAUGACAGUCCCUAUCAGGGUGGAGUACUUUUCUUGAAAAUUCAUUUCCCAACACAUCCCUUCCAACCACCUAAACUUGCAUUUACAACAAGAUAAGGUUGCAUUAGCAUCCAAACAUUAACAGUAAUGGCAGCAUCUGUCUAGAUAGUCUACAGUCCCAGUGGUCUCCAGCACUAUUUCAAAAGUACUUUUGUCCAUCUGUUCUCUGUUGUGAGAUCCCAAUCCAAAUGAUCCCUUAGUGUCUGAGAUUGCCGGGAUCUACAAAACAGAUAGGGAAAAGUACAACAGAAUAGUUGGAGAAGGGACUCAGAAUGGGAGAGGGAAGGUCCCCGGAAAACAAACUAUAAGGCAAGCCACCACUCUGAGGCCGCCCCCAGAAAGAAUCCUGCGGGAAGCAGGGCGCGUGCCUCUGCAACAGCUAGGAUCGCACCCAAACCGCCGACCCAACAGCCAAAGCUGCCCGGCUGGCCGCGAACCUCCGCACCCACGUGAGGUCUUCGCGCCCAUCUGUGACAUUCAAUGCCCACUUGAGAUUGCGUGCACCUGCAGAACUGUCGCCCAGCUCUCGAGGUACACCCCCCAUGUAGCCUCCUCAGCCAGGGAUGUUCCCUCCAUCAGCCACCUGCCGCGCUACACUCACCCCGCCCCUCACCAUGGCGCUUCCCGGUGCGCUGCUCCUUCCCAUUCUCCACGCCCAGCCGGUGGCGCGCCCGCGUCUCCGCAGCCCAGACUGACCCCGCCCACGUGCGCGAGCCCCGCCCGCCGCCUCCGCCCAUUGGCUCUCGGGCGGGGCGGGGGCGGCUCCUGCCGGGUGCGGGCGGGGCGGUGGUUCCGAGGCUGGCGCGCGUGGCCCAGAUCCUCUCACUGCUUGCUGCGCACCCAAGCGAUCCGACAUCCUUCGGUCUUCCUCACCAUGGGCGACGACGCCUCCGCGACCUCCAGGGGCUCCCUGCGGAAGUUCCUUGAGCACCUCUCCGGGGCUGGCAAAGCCAUCGGUGUACUGACCAGCGGCGGGGAUGCCCAAGGUAUGAAUGCUGCUGUCCGUGCUGUGGUGCGCAUGGGAAUAUACGUGGGGGCCAAAGUGUACUUUAUAUGUGAGGGUUACCAAGGCAUGGUGGAUGGAGGUUCUAACAUUGUGGAAGCAGACUGGGAGAGUGUCUCCAGCAUUCUGCAAGUGGUAGGUACCAUGUAG